This 252-nucleotide ribosomal RNA is filed under the name uncultured bacterium. RNAcentral's name for it is "partial 16S ribosomal RNA". It matches the Rfam family "Bacterial small subunit ribosomal RNA", at positions 524 to 776 of the family's 1533-position model. The record is from RNAcentral.
UACGUAGGUGGCGAGCGUUGUCCGGAAUUACUGGGUGUAAAGGGCGUGUAGGCGGGAGAGCAAGUCAGAUGUGAAAUACCGAAGCUUAACUUCGGGGCUGCAUCUGAAACUGUUUUUCUUGAGUGUCGGAGAGGAAAGUGGAAUUCCCAGUGUAGCGGUGAAAUGCGUAGAUAUUGGGAGGAACACCAGUGGCGAAGGCGACUUUCUGGACGAUAACUGACGCUGAGGCGCGAAAGCGUGGGAGCAAACAGG